RNAcentral lists this unclassified non-coding RNA (405 nucleotides) under soil metagenome. RNAcentral describes it as "partial contains 5.8S ribosomal RNA, internal transcribed spacer 2, and large subunit ribosomal RNA". The stretch from base 1 to 121 matches the Rfam family "5.8S ribosomal RNA", at positions 35 to 154 of the family's 154-position model. The record is from RNAcentral.
GAUGAAGAACGUAGCGAAAUGCGAUAAGUAAUGUGAAUUGCAGAAUUCAGUGAAUCAUCGAAUCUUUGAACGCACCUUGCGCCCUUUGGCCAUUCCGAAGGGCAUGCCUGUUUGAGUAUCAUGAACACCUCAACUCUUUAUGGUUUUCCAUGAUGAGCUUGGACUCUGGGGGUUUUGCUGGCUCACAGUCGGCUCCUCUAAAAUGAAUCAGCUUACCAGUGUUUGGUGGGUAUCAUGGGUGUGAUAACUAUCUACGCUUGUGGUUUUUCCACCAGGUAACCUUCAGCAGUGGAGGUUCGCUGGAGCUCAUAGAUGUCUCUCCUCAGUGAGGACAGCCCUUUGAAUGUUUGAUCUCAAAUCAGGUAGGACUACCCGCUGAACUUAAGCAUAUCAAUCAGCGGAGGA